This 253-nucleotide ribosomal RNA is filed under the name uncultured bacterium. RNAcentral's name for it is "partial 16S ribosomal RNA". It matches the Rfam family "Bacterial small subunit ribosomal RNA", at positions 524 to 776 of the family's 1533-position model. The record is from RNAcentral.
UACGUAGGGUGCAAGCGUUAAUCGGAAUUACUGGGCGUAAAGCGUGCGCAGGCGGUUCCGCAAGUCAGAUGUGAAAUCCCCGGGCUUAACCUGGGAACUGCAUUUGAAACUAUGGAGCUAGAGUAUGUCAGAGGGGGGUAGAAUUCCACGUGUAGCAGUGAAAUGCGUAGAGAUGUGGAGGAAUACCGAUGGCGAAGGCAGCCCCCUGGGACAAUACUGACGCUCAGGCACGAAAGCGUGGGGAGCAAACAGG